Molecule: ribosomal RNA, 166 nt
Filed under: uncultured bacterium
Lineage: Bacteria
Description: partial 16S ribosomal RNA
Rfam family: Bacterial small subunit ribosomal RNA
Source: RNAcentral
ACAGUAGGGAAUUUUCGUCAAUGGGCGCAAGCCUGAACGAGCAAUGCCGCGUGAGUGAGGAAGGUCUUCGGAUCGUAAAGCUCUGUUGCGGGGGAAAAAGGAAGCAGAAAGGAAAUGGUCUGCUUUUGAUGGUACCCCGCCAGAAAGUCACGGCUAACUACGUGCC